Molecule: non-coding RNA, 448 nt
Organism: Phascolarctos cinereus (koala)
Lineage: Eukaryota; Metazoa; Chordata; Mammalia; Diprotodontia; Phascolarctidae
Source: RefSeq, a predicted model, not a curated record
AAAGGAGUUCUGCUCAGACAAUGAAGGGCAUCUGUAGGGCAUUCUCAGAUAUCUCCUAAACCCCUUAAAACUCUGCAACGACGCGCAAUACUCACCUGACCCUCUAGGCUUUCAGGAGGGAUCAGUUGUCAGACAAAUACUCUGUCAACCUGGAAGACAGUCUUAUAAAGAGUCCUCAUGAGUUCCCCCUUGGUGUAGUCUUCUGCUGGACUCUGAGGAUCAUUGCCUUUCCAGAGCAUAGCUGGGAUUUUCUCCAUCACAAGGGGUCCCAAUCCAUGAAGUUGCCACCAUCCUCAGGAAGGAUUUCCCAAACGUAUACACCUACCUGGGUGCUCCCCUCUUGGAAUACUCAUUCAUCUAAAAUCAGGAAAGAACAAAUGCAAAAGAAAGAGAGAUGUCAUAUACUUAUGCACAAGGAGCCUCAAUCAGGGUAGCCCUUUCUCACUCA